Molecule: ribosomal RNA, 515 nt
Filed under: uncultured bacterium
Lineage: Bacteria
Description: bacterial SSU rRNA
Rfam family: Bacterial small subunit ribosomal RNA
Source: RNAcentral
CACGGUAAACGAUGGAUGCCCGCUGUUUGCGAUAUACUGUGAGCGGCCAAGAGAAAUCGUUAAGCAUCCCACCUGGGGAGUACGCCGGCAACGGUGAAACUCAAAGGAAUUGACGGGGGCCCGCACAAGCGGAGGAACAUGUGGUUUAAUUCGAUGAUACGCGAGGAACCUUACCCGGGCUUGAAUUGCUGAGGAAAGAUCCAGAGAUGGUGAUGCCCUUCGGGGCCUCAGUGAAGGUGCUGCAUGGUUGUCGUCAGCUCGUGCCGUGAGGUGUCGGCUUAAGUGCCAUAACGAGCGCAACCCCUCUCCGCAGUUGCCAUCAGGUGAUGCUGGGCACUCUGCGGACACUGCCGCCGUAAGGUGCGAGGAAGGUGGGGAUGACGUCAAAUCAGCACGGCCCUUACGUCCGGGGCUACACACGUGUUACAAUGGCCGGUACAGAGGGCUGGGUGCAUGCAAGUGCGCCCGAAUCUUGAAAGCCGGUCUCAGUUCGGACUGGGGUCUGCAACCCGACC